GUACCUCCUAUGCAACGUGCCUCAAAGUUAUUUCAACCAGCAAUGAGUUCGUGCUCUCGUCGUGCAGCAAGUAUAUAGUAAUGGCAAAAAUAACUUAACACAUGAAUUCAAAAUCAAAAACAGCUUUAUUCAAAUAGGCCGUAAGAGCACUUUUGAAUCGUCAAUUUACAAAUUAAAACUUUAACAAUAAAUUAAUAUUAUUGCUACUUAUUUCAUAA
This 218-nucleotide unclassified non-coding RNA is filed under the name Melitaea cinxia (Glanville fritillary). Its description in RNAcentral is "misc RNA ENSMCXG00005003553.1". Lineage: Eukaryota; Metazoa; Arthropoda; Insecta; Lepidoptera; Nymphalidae. The record is from RNAcentral.